Molecule: ribosomal RNA, 2200 nt
Filed under: human gut metagenome
Description: bacterial LSU rRNA
Rfam family: Bacterial large subunit ribosomal RNA
Source: RNAcentral
UGCAUGGUAAAUACAUAGCCAUGUGGAGGAAACCCUCUGAACUGAAACAUCUAAGUAGGAGGAGGAAGAGAAAGAAACAUCGAUUUCCUAAGUAGCGGCGAGCGAAAGGGAAAGAGGCCAAACCAGAGAUAGCAAUAUCUUUGGGGUUGUGGACUGCAUAAUUGAUUCAAUAUUUUUAGCAGAAGUGUAUGGGAAGACACACCAUAGUAGGUAAUAGUCCUGUAAGCGAAAAGGAUAUUGACAAGGCAGGAUCCAGAGUACCACCGGACACGAGGAACCCGGUGGGAAGCCGGGGGGACCACCCCCCAAGCCUAAAUACUACCUGAUGACCGAUAGUGAAAAGUACAGUGAUGGAAAGUUGAAAAGAACCCCGGAAGGGGAGUGAAAAAGAAUCUGAAACCCUAUGUUUACAAGCUGCUAAAGCACUAUAUAUGUGCGAUAGCGUACUUUUUGUAGAACGGUCCGGCGAGUGUAUGUUGCAAGCGAGGUUAAGGUGUUAAGCACUGAAGCCGAAGGGAGACCGAGUGUGAAUAGCGCGUACAGUUUGCAGUAUACGACCCGAAACCGGGUGACCUAACCAUGGACAGGUUGAAGUGGAAGUAAAAUUCCAUGGAGGACCGAACCCACGUCUGUUGAAAAAGGCGGGGAUGAGCUGUGGUUAGCGGUGAAAUUCCAAUCGAACUCGGAUAUAGCUGGUUCUCAUCGAAAUAGCUUUAGGGCUAGCCUCAGGAUAGUUUAGCGGAGGUAAAGCACUGAAUGGGCUAGGGGGCUUCACGGCUUACCGAACCCUAUCAAACUCUGAAUGCCGCAUAAAUGUUUCCUGGGAGUCAGACUGCGUGAGAUAAGUUUCGUAGUCAAAAGGGAAAGAGCCCAGACCUACAGCUAAGGUCCCUAAAUGAAUUUAAGUGGAAAAGGAUGUGCAGUUGCGUAGACAACUAGGACGUUGGCUUAGAAGCAGCCACUCAUUUAAAGAGUGCGUAAUAGCUCACUAGUCGAGUGAUUGUGCGCCGAAAAUGUAACGGGGCUAAAAUUCAUACCGAAGCUUAGGAAUGAUAGUAAUAUUGUUGGUAGAUGAGCGUUGUGUAAGUCUGCGAAGCUACACCGAAAGGAGUAGUGGAGAUAUCACAAGUGAGAAUGCCGGAAUGAGUAGCGAGAAUUAUGUGAGAAUCAUAAUGGUCGAAAAUCUAAGGUUUCUUGAGGAAGGUUCGUCCGCUCAAGGUAAGCCGGGAGCUAAGGCGAGGCCGAGAGGCGUAGUCGAUGCACAUACGGUAAAGAUUCCGUAGCCACCGAAGUCGUUAAAUACAGGGACACAGGAACAUAGCCUAACCCCACCGUUGGUUGAGUGGGGCGUAAGGGAGCGAAAAAUAGUAGCGAAGUAGGUGAUUGUACACUGGCGAGAAAAGCUGUAUGUAUUGAUAAGGUGCCCGUACCGCAAACCGACACAGGUAGAUGAGGAGAGAAUCCUAAGACCAGCGGGAGAAGUGUUGUUAAGGAACUCGGCAAAAUGACCCCGUAACUUCGGGAUAAGGGGAGCCUACGCGAGUAGGCCGCAGAGAAUAGUCUCAAGCGACUGUUUAGCAAAAACACAGGUCUAUGCUAAAUCGAAAGAUGAUGUAUAUGGGCUGACGCCUGCCCGGUGCUGGAAGGUUAAGGGGAAGUGUUAGAGCAAUCGAAGCACUGAACUUAAGCCCCAGUAAACGGCGGCCGUAACUAUAACGGUCCUAAGGUAGCGAAAUUCCUUGUCAGGUAAGUUCUGACCCGCACGAAUGGCGUAACGACUUGAGAGCUGUCUCAACAACAUACCCGGCGAAAUUGAAGUACUGGUAAAGAUGCCAGUUACCCGUGAUAAGACGGAAAGACCCCAUGGAGCUUUACUGUAACUUGAUAUUGAAUUUUUGUAUUACAUGUACAGGAUAGGUGGGAGACAGAGAACUAAUGCCGCCAGGUGUUAGGGAGUCGAUGUUGGGAUACCACUCUUGUAAUAUGAAGGUUCUAACCUGCACCCGUGAAUCCGGGUGGGGGACACUGUCAGGUGGACAGUUUGACUGGGGCGGUCGCCUCCUAAAAGGUAACGGAGGCGUUCAAAGGUUGGUUCAGCACGGACGGAAAUCGUGCAACGAGUGCAAACGCAUAAACCAGCCUAACUGCGAGACCGACAAGUCGAGCAGUAACGAAAGUUGGAGUUAGUGAUCCGGCGGUA